RNAcentral lists this long non-coding RNA (502 nucleotides) under Helianthus annuus (common sunflower). RNAcentral's name for it is "hypothetical non coding rna". The record is from RNAcentral. Lineage: Eukaryota; Viridiplantae; Streptophyta; Magnoliopsida; Asterales; Asteraceae.
GUUGUGAUAUUUUCUAGGGUUUCAUCUUGUUCUCUGGUUCGCUCAUGCUCUUGAUGGUCUGGAUGCUUCAUCUGGUAUCUCAGUGUUGAGAUUGUUGUAUAAGAGAUUGUGUUAAUCUCUUUGUUUGUAUCCUUUCUUUUUUCUGUUUUUGUAUUGUUCUGGUUAUGUUCAACAGAUUUCUUCAAUCUGUUGAACUUGUAUAGUGUAUUGAUUAAAGAUCUCAUACUUUUGAGAUCUAGGGUUUGGUUGGGAUAUUUUUCUGGGUUGGAUAAUCAAUAAAGUUUUGUCACUAUUUUGUCACUAUUUCUGGUGUUGUUCAUAUGUUUCUGUAGUUUAGUGUUAGAUCUGUACUUGUUUACACUAAGUGAUGAUAUUUGUUUAGUAUUAAAAUUCAGUUUUAUCGGGUUAAAACCGAACAAAACUGAAUGUGAAGUUACUUGUUUUGCCAACACUAGUUGAUAUCAUCAGUUAGAAAACUACAAUGAUCACAGAGUUGCACUUU